This 254-nucleotide ribosomal RNA is filed under the name uncultured bacterium. RNAcentral describes it as "partial 16S ribosomal RNA". It matches the Rfam family "Bacterial small subunit ribosomal RNA", at positions 524 to 776 of the family's 1533-position model. The record is from RNAcentral.
UACGUAGGGGGCAAGCGUUGUCCGGAAUUAUUGGGCGUAAAGAGCUCGUAGGCGGUGUGUCACGUCGGCCGUGAAAACCUGCAGCUUAACUGUGGGCGUGCGGUCGAUACGGGCAUCACUGGAGUUCGGCAGGGGAGACUGGAAUUCCUGGUGUAGCGGUGAAAUGCGCAGAUAUCAGGAGGAACACCGGUGGCGAAGGCGGGUCUCUGGGCCGAUACUGACGCUGAGAAGCGAAAGCGUGGGGAGCGAACAGG